Molecule: long non-coding RNA, 467 nt
Filed under: Mustela putorius furo (domestic ferret)
Lineage: Eukaryota; Metazoa; Chordata; Mammalia; Carnivora; Mustelidae
Description: lncRNA (ENSMPUG00000024893.1)
Source: RNAcentral
CAAAUUUUGGCCAACCAUGAUUGUCCAGCAGGCUGUGAGGCAACCAGCCAGAGGGUGCCAUCCCACAGGGCUACCUGGUACUGCAUGGGGAGUGGACAAAUUGUAGGGAUCCUGUAUUAAGUCAGUUUCAGUUCAAGGCAUAUUGGAAGAGUCAGUUGGUCAGCAGUGGCCAAAGCAGAGGCAGCAGAUGCAGAGAGGGUCCCUGCAGUGACUGAGUACUUCAAGAGGAAACAGUAGCCCCUGUUGCUGAGGAGUGACAAGAUCAAAUAGGCACAUGAACUGUUUAUAGCCUGAAUAUGGCUUUAGCUUCUGAAUACCAUUCUGGGCAUCAUAAAGCCUGGCAAUGUGGCCAGCAUGGUGGACUUCGUGAUCGAGAGCAGAAGGACCUAUCGAUAUGCUGAAAGUGCCUCUGAAUAGCCCCCCUGCUUGCGGAGAGGAAAUAAUCAAGCUCGGAACUGUGAUUGCAC